AUUGAACGCUGGCGGCAUGCUUUACACAUGCAAGUCGAACGGUAACAGGCUGCGAGGUUCUUCCGAGUGGCGGACGGGUGCGUAAUGCAUCGGAACGUGCCCAGACCUGGUGGUUAGCUACGCGUAAGAGUGGCUAAUACCCGAUACUACCUAUGACGGACAGCGGGUGACCGCAAGGCCUCUUGCGAUUUGAGCGGCCUGUGUGAGAUGAGGUAGUUGUUGGGUAAAGGCGCACCAAGCCAACGAUCUGUAGCUGGUCUGAGAGGAGGACCAGCCACACUGGAACUGAGACACGGUCCAGACUCCUACGGGAGGCAGCAGUGGGGAAUUUUGGACAAUGGGCGCAAGCCUGAUCCAGCAAUGCCGCGUGGAGGAAGAAGGCCUUCGGGUUGUAAACUGCUUUUGUAGGGAAAGAAAAGCAGCUGGUUAAUACCCCGCGGUACUGACGGUACCGAAAGAAUAAGCACCGGCUAACUACGUG
Molecule: ribosomal RNA, 481 nt
Filed under: uncultured bacterium
Lineage: Bacteria
Description: partial 16S ribosomal RNA
Rfam family: Bacterial small subunit ribosomal RNA
Source: RNAcentral